Molecule: ribosomal RNA, 276 nt
Filed under: uncultured Actinomycetales bacterium
Lineage: Bacteria; Bacillati; Actinomycetota; Actinomycetes; Actinomycetales
Description: partial 16S ribosomal RNA
Rfam family: Bacterial small subunit ribosomal RNA
Source: RNAcentral
UACGUAGGGUGCGAGCGUUGUCCGGAAUUAUUGGGCGUAAAGAGCUUGUAGGCGGUUUGUCGCGUCUGCUGUGAAAGCCCGGGGCUUAACCCCGGGUCUGCAGUGGGUACGGGCAGGCUAGAGUGUGGUAGGGGAGACUGGAAUUCCUGGUGUAGCGGUGGAAUGCGCAGAUAUCAGGAGGAACACUGAUGGCGAAGGCAGGUCUCUGGGCCACUACUGACGCUGAGAAGCGAAAGCGUGGGGAGCGAACAGGAUUAGAUACCUGGUAGUCAAGGC